AUUGAACGCUGGCGGCAUGCUUUACACAUGCCAGUCGAACGGUAACAGCACUUCGGUGGCUGACGAGUGGCGAACGGGUGAGUAAUACAUCGGAACGUGCCUAGUAGUGGGGGAUAACUACUCGAAAGAGUAGCUAAUACCGCAUGAGAUCUAAGGAUGAAAGCAGGGGACCUUCGGGCCUUGCGCUACUAGAGCGGCUGAUGGCAGAUUAGGUAGUUGGUGGGAUAAAAGCUUACCAAGCCGACGAUCUGUAGCUGGUCUGAGAGGACGACCAGCCACACUGGGACUGAGACACGGCCCAGACUCCUACGGGAGGCAGCAGUGGGGAAUUUUGGACAAUGGGCGCAAGCCUGAUCCAGCAAUGCCGCGUGCAGGAUGAAGGCCUUCGGGUUGUAAACUGCUUUUUACGGAACGAAAAGCCCUCUUCUAAUACAGGAGGGUCAUGACGGUACCGUAAGAAUAAGCACCGGCUAACUACGUG
RNAcentral lists this ribosomal RNA (481 nucleotides) under uncultured bacterium. RNAcentral's name for it is "partial 16S ribosomal RNA". It matches the Rfam family "Bacterial small subunit ribosomal RNA", at positions 30 to 507 of the family's 1533-position model. The record is from RNAcentral.